CCUACGUGCUGCAGCAGUGGGGAAUAUUGGACAAUGGGCGAAAGCCUGAUCCAGCCAUGCCGCGUGUGUGAAGAAGGCCUUCGGGUUGUAAAGCACUUUCAGUGGGGAAGAAAGCCUUGGGGCUAAUACCCUCGAGGAAGGACAUCACCCACAGAAGAAGCACCGGCUAACUCCGUGCCAGCAGCCGCGGUAAUACGGAGGGUGCGAGCGUUAAUCGGAAUUACUGGGCGUAAAGCGCGCGUAGGCGGUCUGAUAAGCCGGUUGUGAAAGCCCCGGGCUCAACCUGGGAACGGCAUCCGGAACUGUCAGGCUAGAGUGCAGGAGAGGAAGGUAGAAUUCCCGGUGUAGCGGUGAAAUGCGUAGAGAUCGGGAGGAAUACCAGUGGCGAAGGCGGCCUUCUGGACUGACACUGACGCUGAGGUGCGAAAGCGUGGGUAGCAAACAGGAUUAGAUACCCGGGUAGUC
Molecule: ribosomal RNA, 465 nt
Filed under: Vreelandella stevensii
Lineage: Bacteria; Pseudomonadati; Pseudomonadota; Gammaproteobacteria; Oceanospirillales; Halomonadaceae
Description: partial 16S ribosomal RNA
Rfam family: Bacterial small subunit ribosomal RNA
Source: RNAcentral